This 373-nucleotide ribosomal RNA is filed under the name uncultured organism. RNAcentral's name for it is "bacterial SSU rRNA". It matches the Rfam family "Bacterial small subunit ribosomal RNA", at positions 526 to 896 of the family's 1533-position model. The record is from RNAcentral.
CGGGGGGAGCAAGCGUUGUUCGGAUUUACUGGGCGUAAAGGGCGCGUAGGCGGCGCAACAAGUCACUUGUGAAAUCUCCGGGCUUAACCCGGAGCGGCCAAGUGAUACUGUCGUGCUAGAGUGCGGAAGGGGCAACUGGAAUUCUCGGUGUAGCGGUGAAAUGCGUAGAUAUCGGGAGGAACACCUGCGGCGAAGGCGGGUUGCUGGGCCGACACUGACGCUGAGGCGCGAAAGCCAGGGGAGCGAACGGGAUUAGAUACCCCGGUAGUCCUGGCCUUAAACGAUGGAUGCUUGGUGUCCGAGGUUACAUAGUCCUCGGGUGCCGUCGCUAACGCCUUAAGCAUCCCGCCUGGGGAGUACGGUCGCAAGACUG